This 811-nucleotide ribosomal RNA is filed under the name uncultured fungus. Its description in RNAcentral is "eukaryotic LSU rRNA". It matches the Rfam family "Eukaryotic large subunit ribosomal RNA", at positions 24 to 664 of the family's 3401-position model. Lineage: Eukaryota; Fungi. The record is from RNAcentral.
CCCGCUGAACUUAAGCAUAUUAUUAAGCGGAGGAAAAGAAACUAACAAGGAUUCGGAUAGUAACGGCGAGUGAAGUCCGAAAAGCUCAAAAUGAAAAUCGAAUACCAUAUAGGUCUUCGAGUUGUAAUCUUAUAGACGUGUGUUCAACUAGCGACCCAGAGGAAAUUCUCCUGGAAAGGGGGACCAUAGCGGGUGAUAGUCCCGUUCAACCUUUGGAGUUCGCGGUCUAACGAUACACUGUCUUUGAGUCGUGCUGUUUGGGAUUACAGUGCAAAAAUGGGUGGUAAACUUCAUCCAAAGCUAAAUAUUGGCGGGAGACCGAUAGCGAACAAGUAGCGUGAGCGAAAGAUGAAAAGAACUUUGAAAAGAGAGUUAAUAGUACCUGAAAUUGCUAAGAGGUAAGCUAUGGGAUGCAGUGUGAUAGACCUGUUGUUAUAUGGUAAGUAUCAUCCAUAUUUGUAGUAAGAUUUUAUAAAACUAGUGGUAAUACACUGUCUUUAUAAGAAUGAAAAAAGUAUAGAUGAUAUGUAUUCCUUAUACCAGGUGGCAAAAUACAUCGAAUUAAUCGGAAAAAAUCUUAAAGUAGGUGUAUCUCUUCUGGGCAACUGGUCGAUGAUCUGACUUUUCGACGAUACGUUUUGAUUCGGUGGGUUUGACAGUGCGGUAAUGACUAUGUGACCUUUGAUGUUUAUCGUUUAAAGACAACAAAGUUGUGUUUAGAUGGUAAAUGCCUUAUCGUUAUAUAGAUUUAAUAAUUACUACUGGACGAUUUUUGCCAAAAUGCAUUCCAUUGACCCGUCUUGAAACACGG